This 256-nucleotide ribosomal RNA is filed under the name uncultured bacterium. Its description in RNAcentral is "partial 16S ribosomal RNA". It matches the Rfam family "Bacterial small subunit ribosomal RNA", at positions 524 to 777 of the family's 1533-position model. The record is from RNAcentral.
UACGGGGGGGAGCAAGCGUUGUUCGGAUUUACUGGGCGUAAAGGGCGCGUAGGCGGUCGUGACAAGUCACUUGUGAAAUCUCCGGGCUUAACUCGGAACGGUCAAGUGAUACUGUCGGACUAGAGUCCGGAAGAGGCAAGUGGAAUUCCCGGUGUAGCGGUGAAAUGCGCAGAUAUCUGGAGGAACACCGGUGGCGAAGGCGGCAUCCUGGACCGAGAUUGACGCUGAGGCGCGAAAGCCAGGGGAGCAAACGGGG